RNAcentral lists this ribosomal RNA (406 nucleotides) under uncultured bacterium. RNAcentral's name for it is "partial 16S ribosomal RNA". It matches the Rfam family "Bacterial small subunit ribosomal RNA", at positions 30 to 526 of the family's 1533-position model. The record is from RNAcentral.
AUUGAACGCUGGCGGCAUGCCUAACACAUGCAAGUCGAACGAGUGGCGGACGGGUGAGUGCUGUCUUGGAAACUGCCUGAUGGAGGGGGAUCACUAGUGGAAACCGUAGAUAAUACCGCAUACCAUCAGAUGUGCCCAGAUGGGAUGAGCUUGUUGGUGGGGUAACGGCUCACCAAGGCGAAGAUACCUAGCUGGGCUGAGAGGAUGACCAGCCACACUGGAACUGAGACACGGUCCAGACUCCUACGGGAGGCAGCAGUAGGGAAUAUUGCACAAUGGGCGAAAGCCUGUUCCAGCCAUGCCGCGUGAAUGAAGAAGGCUUUCGGGUUGUAAAGUACUGUCAGCGGGGAAGCGUUACCUGCAGAGGAAGCCCCGGCUAACUCCGUGCCAGCAGCCGCGGUAAUUC